AUACCUCUAUCUUGCCCUAAGCUUACACUAUGAGUUACAUUAUCAACCAUGAGUUUUAGAGAAGUAUUGGAGAUAGAAUCUUUAGAAAGGAGCAAUAGAAAACCAGUAUCGUGAGAGAAGGAUUCAAAUAAAAAAGAGAAGAGUUAAACCCUUGUCCCUUGUGUAUCAUGGCUUAGCCAUUAAUCUGACUUAUAUUAAGUAUUCCGAAACCUAGUGAGCUACUAAUCCCCUGUUAAGCACCCAAUAGUCCUUGUGGCAAUAAGGUUAAGAGAGGUUCUAGUAGAGAUGAGAUGUCAUACGCACUAAGUAAUAGCUGAUUUCUAGAGAAAUGUAUAAAAGUACAGGAAAGUAUCACCUUAUCCUCCCAUUAAAGGGAUAAUCUUUUAAUGGAAUAAGCUUUAUGAACAAUUAACCUUCUAUCAUAGCCUAGGCUUAAAAUCAGCCCUGAGCAUCAAUCAAGUUACAUUGUAAUGAAGAAGAGAGGUAUAAUUAUAUACUCAUAAUCUUAAUUUAUUUAGAAAUUCUGACUAACUUAUUUCAGAAGAUAUUCUGCUAAGAUAAGUAUAAUGUAUAACUAACUUCUAACUUAUAGUGGAAUACUCCAUUUAUAAAGUAUGAAUAAGGAACUCGGCAAAUAAAAGCUUCGUCUGUUUAUCAAAAACAUAGCUCUUUGGUAUUAUGAAAGGUAUAGCCUGCCCAGUGGGAUCUCAACGGCUGCAGUAUAUUGACUGUACAAAGGUAGCAUAAUCACUUGCCUUGUAAUUAGGGGCUGGAAUCAAUGGCUGGACGAGAGCUUAACUGUCUCAUUCAUACACCUAAAAACUUACCUCCAAGUGAAAAGGCUUGGAUACUAUAAAAGGACAAGAAGACCCUAUUGAGCUUUAGAGAAUUAACUUAUAACAACAGUUAUUAAAUACAAGUGUCAUUAAGUAAGUAACUUUGAUUGGGGCAAUCGAAGUACAGUAUGAACCACUUCUUAGAGAUUUACUCAUGAGUAUAGUCAUAACUAAAGAUGAUCCUACAAUUAAGAUCGGAAGAAUAAGUUACCAUAGGGAUAACAGCAUAAUUUCUCCAGAGAGCUCUCAUCGAAGGAGAAGUUUGUGACCUCGAUGUUGGA
This 1117-nucleotide ribosomal RNA is filed under the name Lophopus crystallinus. RNAcentral's name for it is "partial 16S ribosomal RNA". It matches the Rfam family "Bacterial large subunit ribosomal RNA", at positions 470 to 2536 of the family's 2925-position model. The record is from RNAcentral. Lineage: Eukaryota; Metazoa; Bryozoa; Phylactolaemata; Lophopodidae.